RNAcentral lists this transfer RNA (66 nucleotides) under marine eukaryotic metagenome. It matches the Rfam family "tRNA". From Rfam's summary of the family: Transfer RNA (tRNA) molecules are approximately 80 nucleotides in length. The record is from RNAcentral.
GGCGUAGCUCAGUUGGUAGAGCGGCUGAUUUGUAAUCAGCGGGUCGUGGGUUCGAAUCCUAUCGCC